UUUUAAUUUCCGCAGUAAAUUUUCGAAUGGAUGAAAACAUCUUACAACAUGUGCAGGCUGUCCUGAAGAAUGAAGGAGGAUUGUUAGAGAGGAAUAUGCCAACCAGAACUGCAAUUAGGAGUCAUUGACAGGAGGAACCUUUGUGACUUGUACGAGGAUGAAGCUUUCAAGCACCACACGCUACCUUAUCAACAUGCUUGAAGAUGAUCUGAGCCUGAGGAGGGACAAAGGGCCUAGUGAUCGACUACCUUUGUAUCUGCAAAUAUCGACAAUUCUGCGUUUGUAUGCUGAUAAUUUCAGGGAAUACAUGGUGAUGAGACAUCAGCUGUUGAGUGAUCAAAGAUGUUUCGCAAGCCAUAGCAAGAAGAAAGGUUUUGUGAGAACCUCAACAACCAGAGAUGAGAUUGAGGCUACCCAACAACAACUGUAUGAGCGUUGUGGCCCAGUGGAUUAGUCUCCCGGACCUUGAAACAGAGGGUCGUGGGUUCGAAUCACAGCCAUGGCGUAAUUUCCUUCAACAAGAAACUGAUCCACACGGUGCUGCACUCAACCUAGGUGAGGUAAAUGGGUACCGGUAGGAAGUAAUUCCUCAAGAAGCUGUGAACGCCUAGCUUAGCCGGGUAAUAUAGGAGCGCCUUGAGCACCUAAUAAGGUGGAUAUGUGCGCAAUAUAAAUACCCUAUAUUAUUAUUUUGAGUACCAGUACUACAGGAAUUCAAUAGUCAUAGGUGUGAUC
Lytechinus pictus (painted urchin) is the source of this 735-nucleotide long non-coding RNA. RefSeq lists it as uncharacterized. The transcript is spliced from 3 exons. The record is from RefSeq and is a predicted model, not a curated record. Lineage: Eukaryota; Metazoa; Echinodermata; Echinoidea; Temnopleuroida; Toxopneustidae.